Molecule: ribosomal RNA, 413 nt
Filed under: uncultured bacterium
Lineage: Bacteria
Description: bacterial SSU rRNA
Rfam family: Bacterial small subunit ribosomal RNA
Source: RNAcentral
GAGUUUGAUCGUGGCUCAGGAUGAACGCUGGCGGCGUGCUUAACACAUGCAAGUCGAACGAAGCUUGAUCCCAGAUCCUUUCGGGGUGACGGGUGAUAUGACUGAGUGGCGGACGGGUGAGUAACGCGUGGGCAACCUGCCUCAUACAGGGGGAUAACAGUUAGAAAUGACUGCUAAGACCGCAUAAGACCACAGCACCGCAUGGUGGAGUGGUAAAAGCUCCGGUGGUAUGAGAUGGGCCCGCGUCUGAUUAGCUAGUUGGUGAGGUAACGGCUCUACCAAGGCAACGAUCAGUAGCCGGCUUGAGAGAGUGAACGGCCACAUUGGGACUGAGACACGGCCCAAACUCCUACGGGAGGCAGCAGUGGGGAAUAUUGCACAAUGGGGGAAACCCUGAUGCAGCGACGCCGCGU